UACGUAGGGAGCAAGCGUUGUCCGGAAUUAUUGGGCGUAAAGAGCUCGUAGGCGGUUUGUCGCGUCUGCUGUGAAAACCUAAGGCUCAACCUUGGGCUUGCAGUGGAUACGGGCAGACUAGAGUGCGGUAGGGGUGACUGGAAUUCCUGGUGUAGCGGUGGAAUGCGCAGAUAUCAGGAGGAACACCGAUGGCGAAGGCAGGUCACUGGGCCGCAACUGACGCUGAGGAGCGAAAGCGUGGGGAGCAAACAGG
RNAcentral lists this ribosomal RNA (253 nucleotides) under uncultured bacterium. Its description in RNAcentral is "partial 16S ribosomal RNA". It matches the Rfam family "Bacterial small subunit ribosomal RNA", at positions 524 to 776 of the family's 1533-position model. The record is from RNAcentral.